UUCACAAUUAAGUAAUGUAAUGUCAAAUGUCACAAAUUUGCUACAAUUCUGUAAUUUUCAUUAAAAGACCAUUCCCAUUCCCAAGUGCUCUAUUUUAGGGUUACCUUAGUAGGAUACUAUCAAAAUCAGGAAGCUCCAUAAUGGCCCAUGUAUGUCUAACUGCACUCCUGAUGCCUCUGUUUUAUCUCACCCUAGUAAAAGCAACUUUGUCAGGACCUCUCAAGACACUUGAGACAUGUUUUCCAAAACCAAUUUUAAGUAAGUAUUAAUUCAAUGGAGCAUUCCUGGUGUGGCUCUUUCAGCUGUGCAGAAUGCCACAACAAUGAGGAAAUUGUUUGUUCCAGAGCAGGAGAUGCCAAUGCAAUGACAGACACUUUUUUAAGGCAUGUAGCUGGUGGCUGUUAAAUCUACAUUUCCUGACAUUCAUAAUGGCCCGUUAGCCACUGGACGUGAGCAGAGAGAGUUAGUUAAUACUUAGGCCUUCUUUUUCAUAGUGUGUUUAACAAUGCAGAGUGCUUUUAAAUAAUUAUUUCAUCUAAUCUUAACAAUAACCCUAUGAGAUCGGCAGGGACAUCUUGGCAAUGUAAGAACAUCCUAAACGUCAUUCUCACAAGACAAAGGCCUACUCUUCUUACUCUACAGCAUGAGUACUCCCUAGUAAGAAGAAAGCACACUUAAAUUAUAUUCUUUUCUUUCUUUCUUUCUUUCUUUCUUUCUUUCUUUCUUUCUUUCUUUUUUUUUUUUUUAGAGGUGCUGGGGAUCAAACUUGGGUCCUUAUAUAAUUUAAUUAUAUUAUUUUCAGUGAACAUUCAUUGAGCCAUCCUUUGGGCCAGGGUACUGUGAAAUGAUGGGGUGCCACCAAGGAACAAAACACAGUUGCUUCUCUCAAGGAAUUCCACCUGUCAGGGGAGAAACAAGAACGCCUCUAUCAUCUGAUGCUGAAAGUGCCAUACUGAUGUCUUCCAGGAAAGUGGAGUGGGGGAGAGAAGGAUUCAGAGAACUGGAGGGCUUGUGGUUGCUAUGGGUGAAGUGCUGUCCACUCAGAUGCUCAAUUACUCCUCUCACAUGGCUGCAUUUCUGGGAGCCUCCACUCAUCUCUGUGAGCCCUGGGUCCAUGUGAUAGUAUGGUCCCUGAAGAGCACAGCUUGAAAGAGGCUAGAACCUGAGAAGGUGUUAACCUCAAAAGGAGAUAAGAACAUGAGAGAACAUUAGCUGGCUACUUUCAUGGAACUUCAGGGAGGGAGUCUGGGAAUCGAUGCCUAAGGGCCUCUAUUUUUGUGGUGUGGUUGUUGAGUAGUGCGUAAAGUCGCCUUGUGUCUAUGAAUGUGGACUUUGUGGUCAGGGAAGCCUGGGUUCAAACCCUGGCUUUGAAACAUACUGUCAUUUAUUGCUCUGAGACCCUGAACAACUACUUCCACUCUUUAUACCUCAGUUUCCCCAUUUGUGAAUUGGGGAUAGUAAUAGUACCUACAACAACAAAACUGUUGAGAGACGUAAAUGAGAUACCUGUAAUGUACAAGGCAGAUGGUAAGCCACUUCAGAAGUGUUAGCUAUUAUUAUUGUUGUUGUUGUUAUUGUUUUAUACCAAGAGGGAAAAAUAUGAAUAGCACUGAAGACUUAAGAAGGAAGAAGAGGAAGAGGAAGAGGAAGAAGAAGAAGAAGAAGAAGAAGAAGAAGAAGAAGAAGAAGAAGAAGAAGAANNNNNNNNNNNNNNNNNNNNNNNNNNNNNNNNNNNNNNNNNNNNNNNNNNNNNNNNNNNNNGAAGGAAGAAAAAGUAGAGCCAUACUCAAAUGAAGAAAAAUGCAAGCUAGAGGUACAUUGAGAUGUCAUUUGUCACCUUUCAAAUUGGCAAAACCUAGAAAGUUGGCUAACACUGUCAUUGGAGAUAUAAGGAGGCUGGCGGGAGGGUGAAGUGGAACAACUUACCACCCUGGCAAGAACAUUGGCAAUAGCUAACAAUAUUGAUAUAAACAUACCCAUUGGCUCAGGUAGUCCACUUCUAGGAAUUUAUGCUACUGAUACCCAGGCAUACGUGCAAAAUGAUGUAUGAAAGGUUUAGCACUGUUUGAAUAUCAAAAUAUUGGAAGCCACCUAUCUGUCCAUGAGCAGGGAAAUAGUUAAACAAAUUGUGGAGUAUCUAUAUAAUGUAACCAAUAAAAUGAGAAAGUUCCUUCA
Vulpes vulpes (red fox) is the source of this 2175-nucleotide long non-coding RNA. The record is from Ensembl. NCBI's taxonomy places the organism in Eukaryota, Metazoa, Chordata, Mammalia, Carnivora, Canidae.